GUCCUGAGGUGAUUGUCACAUUGAAUUGCAAAUUCAAAGGAGCAGCUCUUACUCUGCCAGGACUU
Molecule: transfer RNA, 65 nt
Filed under: Stylodipus telum (thick-tailed three-toed jerboa)
Lineage: Eukaryota; Metazoa; Chordata; Mammalia; Rodentia; Dipodidae
Description: tRNA-Cys
Source: RNAcentral